RNAcentral lists this transfer RNA (88 nucleotides) under Edwardsiella ictaluri. Its description in RNAcentral is "tRNA-Gly(gcc)". Lineage: Bacteria; Pseudomonadati; Pseudomonadota; Gammaproteobacteria; Enterobacterales; Hafniaceae. The record is from RNAcentral.
UGGGGAUGCUGGAUUACGUUGCUGCAGGCCGGGCAGCUGUUUGGAUAGGCGAAGAUAAAAACGCCCGGUGCAGACCGGGCGUUUCGGG